Molecule: transfer-messenger RNA, 358 nt
Filed under: Moraxellaceae
Lineage: Bacteria; Pseudomonadati; Pseudomonadota; Gammaproteobacteria; Moraxellales
Also listed under: 1 other name
Description: Moraxella_A macacae Standard tmRNA
Rfam family: transfer-messenger RNA
About the family: Bacterial tmRNA, also known as 10Sa RNA or SsrA, is named for its dual tRNA and mRNA-like properties. Its role is to liberate the mRNA from a stalled ribosome.
Source: RNAcentral
GGGGAUGUUCUGGCUUCGACGCUGGUAAUGAAACUCAAUGAUGCAUGUCAAGAGCGUAUGUCUCUUGUAAAUAAACGUACAUUUUAAAUAGUCGCAAACGACGAAACUUACGCACUAGCAGCCUAAGGGUUGCUUGGGACGGUACAGAUUGCCUUUGGUUUGGUUGCUCUCCCAGAUGCGAACGCACAAAGGAUAGUUUUGGCUUUUGUCUUGCAAGCCAAAGCGAAUUUUUAGAGACUCGCCGUUGGCAUCCUGACUGUCGGUUCGCCAAAGGUUAAAGCCAUAGACAGACUCUAAGCAUGUAGAGUCAUGGGCGUAGUGCUGGCGGACGCGGGUUCAACUCCCGCCAUCUCCACCA